RNAcentral lists this transfer RNA (66 nucleotides) under Anolis altae. RNAcentral describes it as "tRNA-Cys". The record is from RNAcentral. Lineage: Eukaryota; Metazoa; Chordata; Lepidosauria; Squamata; Anolidae.
AGCCCCGGAGCCCUUUAGGGGCUCUUCUUCAAAUUUGCAUUUUGACGUAAGUCACUUCGGGGCUCU